GUGACCCCGAGCUGCUGCGCGGCCUGCAGGGGGCGCUGCCCAAGAAGAAGCGGGGACCCCGAAAACAGAAGGAAAAUAAACCCGGAAAACCCCGGAAACGGAAAAAACUGGUGUCUGAGGAUGAGCUGGAGUCGGAGCGGGACGAGUUUCCCGAGAGCGGGGGCAGCGACUCGGGGGGGCCCCGGAAACGGCGCCGGAAACACCGCGACCGCAAGGAGAAAAAGACCAAGAGGCGGAAAAAGUCCGACGAGGACGGGGGGCAGAAAGGGAAGGCUGUAGAGCAGAAGUCCUCGGCUCAGCUGCUGGGCGCCUGGGGCCUGGAGGACGUGGAUCACGUUUUCACCGAGGAGGAUUAUCACACGCUCACCAACUACAAGGCGUUCAGCCAGUUC
Molecule: long non-coding RNA, 392 nt
Filed under: Columba livia (rock pigeon)
Lineage: Eukaryota; Metazoa; Chordata; Aves; Columbiformes; Columbidae
Description: partial uncharacterized LOC102085065
Source: RNAcentral